Molecule: long non-coding RNA, 5176 nt
Filed under: Vigna radiata
Lineage: Eukaryota; Viridiplantae; Streptophyta; Magnoliopsida; Fabales; Fabaceae
Description: long non-coding RNA (VRAD_LNC004174)
Source: RNAcentral
UUUAGCCUUCUCCUUCACUUAUAAAAAGAGAGACACCCUUUUGUAAUCCUUAGAAUUUGAUUUAAUGUAAAGUCUUUUUGUCCAAAAUUGCAAGACUUCUCUUCUUGAGUUCUCACCUUAUGAAAUUGUCUUCUUCUAGACUUCUUCAUACCUUCUCCUUCAUGGUUGGUCUAACCUUCUAGAAGGACAUCUACCAAGACCAUACAACAUCAAAAUCAUCAUUUUUUCAUCUUUAUUUGCUUCCGCUACAAUCAUUGUUCAUAUGGAGUCCAUCUUUUGAAGAAGUUUCAUCAACCAAAUUGGAAGAUCAUCUUGUGUUGAAGAAGCAUCAUUAAAGCAAUCUCCAUCAGAGUCCUUUUGUAAGUACAUGAAUUCAUUUCCUCGUUUCUAGGCAACACAUGCCUUACAUUUUUAAAGUAAAACAUGACAUUCCUUCCAUUUAACCGUGUUUUGCAAAGAUAAAAAAAAAGGCCUUCAACUACACAUGGACGCUCAAUCAGACGUGGAUUGACUAACAAGCUUACAUUAACAAUAAGGAUUUAUGUAUUGUAAUAAAUUAUUGCCAGCGAUAAGCAUGGUUAACUUGUAGAAAAGUUUCAUUCUGAUUGGGAUCUAAGUAAUAUGAAACUCUUUUCCAAAAAAACUGUGUCCUAUUUGCAUGGAGAGACUAAAGAAUACUAUAUCUUUUUCGAUAUCGUAUUAAAAGAUGUAAUUUAUUAAAUUAGACAUCACAAAUAGAAAAUUUUUUGUUUUGUAACCGUGUGCUCAUACAAUGAAGAAAAAACAACUUUUCAAAUGAGUUGAAUUUUGUUUGUGGGACUUUAGGUUUAAUUCCCCUUCAAUACUAUAAAAAUCUCGUCCAUUCCCUUCUCCUCCUCGUAUACCCAAGUUACCUUUUCUAUCUCCCGUUCCCUCCUCCCAUGGCUAUACUACUCAAGUUUUUUUCUUCCAUUCCAAUAAAAUCUUCACUUUCUUCAAAAGUUUCUUUGACCAUUCAAAUUGUUGGGUUGGUGACAAAUGACUUUACCUCUAUCGUUUACACGGUUGAACGGGGUCAUUAUGUCAUAGUAUUCAGUUGUAUCUCUACAUCGAGUUUUUGUGUAAAAAUAAAAAAAUCACUUUCUUGUUCCUUGGCUGCACAUGCCUUACAUAUUUGACGUAAGGCAGAGCAGUCAUUUCUUCUAUUUGACCAUGUUUAUCAAAGAUGACAAAAAAAAUAGAUUUUCAACUUCAUACGAUUGCUCGACCAAACAUAAAACGACUAAGAACCUUGCAUGAACAAAUAUGAUUUGUGUAUUGGAAUAAAUUAUUACCAGUGAUAAACAUAAUUAACUCGAAGAAAAUUUCACUCUAACUAAGAUAAUGAGUAAUAAAAAAAAAAAAUUGUCCUAUUUAAGUGGAGAGGUCAAAAAUAUGGUGUCGUUCUGGUCAUAGUAAAGAUAAUUUCCUUUAAAUACUAAAAAGGUAAAAAUCUUUUUUGAAUACUCUUUUAAACACAUGAAAAAGGUAAAAAUUUUCUGUAUAAAAUCCAGCAAGAAUGAGUUUUCCUACCAUACCUGUAUGUAAAUGAGGAGUGAGGGAAGGAGUUGCAUGUUAAUAGUCAUAUUCUAUAUAUAUAUAUAUAUAUAUAUAUAUAUAUAUAUAUAUAUUUUUUUUGUGUGUUUGUGUGAUGUCUUUAAAGAUUUUGGAAUCUAUAUAUUUGAUAAAGUGAAUAAUAUUCAGUUCUGUUUUUGUUAAGCUUUUCUUUACCCAUUUUGAUAUAUCCAUUAAACUUUAAAAAAACUAAUAUAUAGCACAAAACUUGCCGAAGAUAAAAGUGAAACUCCAUAUUUAGUGUUUCAAUAUGCAAACAACCCAGAAUUAGUAGAGGAUGUUGAAGCAUAUGCAAAAGCAAAAAUCAAAGACCGAACAUCUUUUUACAUUUUUCUGGAAAAUCCUCUUUGCAUUUGCAAGAAUAAGAUCUGUUAAAUUCAUAUUUUUUUUUUAUCAAAUAUAACACUUUAUUUAUAUAUAAUUACAAAUAAAUUUGAUGACAUUCAACUUUAAAAAUGUGACAACAGUUUUAAUAUUUAAAUUUAAAAAAUUAAUAGAUAUAAUAUUUUAAUCAUUUGAACUAAAACUUAUUAAUAUUUAAGUUAUUUAUGUACUUUAAAAAUUGAUUAAUAGAAAAUACUCAAUAUUUUAUAAUUAUAUUUAUUUUUUAAAAUUUGAAGUCAAAAUAUAUCAAAAUUUAACCAGACUAUCUUAAUUUUGUAUUUAAAUUCAUUAACUACAAACAUAUUUAAAAAAAAAAAAAAACACUAAUUUUUGACAUGGCUAUAAAUGUAAUCUAACAGUUUAAAUGUUGAAGAUUCACUGUAGUAAUAUUUUUUACAAAAAAUUUUACACUGAUAUUGAAACUUUUGAUUUAAUAAUUCAGAAUCUCAUCAGUAUUAGUAGGUCAACUGUAAUGAUUUUAAUUUACUCUAAUUAUUACACAUAUUGUUCUCCUGUCCUGUUGUUACCUUAUUUUGCAAUCAUAAUGAUGGAUUAAUCAAUUCUGAUCUAAUCCAGUCACUCCUGCAUCAAUAACAUAUUAUUAUUUUUCACAUGGAUAACGAUAUUUAGACAAUAUUUUUUUGACAAUAUUUGAACAUUGAUUACGUGUCAACUUGUGAUUGGUCAAAAAUUACUCCACAAUCAAUAAUAAUAAUCAAUAUUUUAUAAUUGUAGAGUAAUUUUUAACCAAUCACAGAUUGACACGUAAUCAAUGUUCAAAUGUUAUCAAAAAAAUGUUGUCUAAAUAUCAUUAUCUUUUCACAUUUAACAAACUUUUACACACAUUUUAUAUUUAUUAUUUUACCCUUCAAAUUUUAUUUUUUCUAUAAAUAUAAAAGUUAACCUUUUAAUUAUCAAAAUACCCCAAAAACUAUAUAAAAGUUUUACAUUAUUUGUGCAUCAAUCUAAAAAGGGUGAUUUUAAAAUAUAAAAAAAUUGAAAUAAUAUGAAUAUUUUGUUUCUUUUAGGGACAGUAGCCCUAUAUUAUUUGGGUCUUAGAGGCCCUUUUAAUCUUCCAUCUCUAUCCACUUUUUCUUUAACAUGUCCUUUUCAGUAAAGCUUUGUCCAUCACCCACCUCUAUUGCUUGUUCAGUAAAAGCUAAACACACAAACUUAUAUUUUAUUUCUAAUUAUAAUUUUUGGUAUUUAUCAAUAAAUGUGCCUUUUUCUUAACAAAUAUUAUUACCAUAAUUGACUUCCUUAAUUGGUAUUUAGCGUUUAAUCAUCAACUCAAUAAUAGAGUCACAACUUCAAUUGUAACUUUCUCUUACAAAUGAAUCAUCCCAUUGAAAGAGGGGUUCUACCUCUUCAUUGUAAAAUAAAAAAAUUAUAUAUAUAAAUGUAAAUACAUAAAGGUGGAAAGAAAUAUAAAAAUUCAUAGAUUUACUAUGUAGUAAUAAUAAGGAAGGCUUACGAAGAAGAGAAACCAAAAAAAAAAAGAGGUAAAGAAAGAUGUAAAAGUUUUGUACGGUAGUAUAUCUCUGACGGCGGAUACGUCACCUUAACGACCGGUUACACCGAACGGUCCAGUUUACCAAUUAAAUGGGCCGAAUUAUCAAACUGGUCUAACUUUAUUGGGCUCGAGGCCCAUCAUGUCACAAAUGUGAAUAAAUGAACAAUAUCAUAUAUCACGUAUCAAAUAAUAUCCCAACAAAAAUAUAUCAAGUAAGUUUGUUUAUAUUUCAUUCUGUUUUAUUCUGUUUAUAUUCUAUUGAUCUCAUAUCAAUCCAAAACCUAUAAAUAAAGAACCAAGGACUCCAAACACACACGGUACGUUCACAUUCUUUCAUACUCAUACUUUCACACCGACUAAGUAUUAUCGUAUUUACGAUAACCCUCUCCUCAUUCUAAUGCCUUUACACAUAAACGAAAUAACAGAAAAUGUAAAUCUAACAAUAAACCGAACGGUUCGGUCAGAGACCCAACGAUACAUUGAACAACACAAUAAAACCGAUUAAUACACUGAAUAACACAAAACUAAUCGGUAUACUGAAUAAAACCGAACGGUACGAUACUGAAUGGUAUAACUGUUAUAAAAAAUCAUGAGUUUCUUACACAACAUAAUGCCAUUAAGAUAUAGAUUCCUAAUUUAUGCAUUUUUUUUUUGUUUUGAUUUGAUAUUUAUUGUUGUUUCUGAAAACGUGAUUAUGUGAAUAUAUUAUUUGAAAGUCUCAUUUAUGUUUAUCUUAAAUUAAAUUUCUUUUAAUUUAACUUAUUUUUCUAUUGUUUAUUUUUCAAUUUCUUAUCUACUUGUAGAUGGAAAAAUAUGAUUAAAAAGAAUAUUUUUAUAUAAUAUGUAUAUACGUAUGUAGAAAGAGAAAGAGUGUGGAUUUUUAGUUUGGAAGGAUAAAUAUAAUCAAAUUCAUCAUGGUAUUAUCCCUAUGUUUAUGGUCUUUUAUAGGUUUCUUAAAUAAAAAGAAUAAAUUUUCAUUGAUUAAAUAGAUUUUUUUAAUUGUUUUAUAAUUUAGAAUGAUUUCAAUUUGGUUCAUGUAUAGUAUCAGGUAGGACGGACGGUCGAAGUUGAUCCGAAGGAGACCGGUUCGAAGAAACCAUUAAAUCGGUGAGCAUUUCUAGAAACGCCUGGACAAGUGGACCGACUGGAAGAGCCGGACGGUCCCCAGAAUGGCUCUAAUCAGUCUAAGGAACGCGAUUCAAGCAGGAAACCGAUAGACACCCGGCCGGUCCUUAUGAUGACAGUAACUGCGCAAAAUCAAGAAAGUAAACAGGAUUAGGAACAUUUGGGCUGAGAUUGGGCCGUCAUUAAGAAAAGGCUAAACACAGGCCCACCAAGAAAACUAUAAAUAAGAGGUCAAAGGUAAGACAGGUAAGAACAUUAAAUGCACAUUGAUAUCAUACUUUCUCUCUCUAUCUCUACUGUUGAUUUGAGAAUUGACUUGAGCGUCGGAGCCUCUUAGACAGGUACCCGACCGGCUUUGGACUGAAGUUGUGGAACUUAUUGAAGCUAAACGACCAGAUCGGAGGGCAUGAGCAAGGACCGGACGGCGAGGAGAUUGCGAAGGGUUGAUUGUGAAGAGUUAACUACUAUCCACCGAAACAGAUCAUAUUAAAAAAAAAAAAAUUAAUGUAAUAUAUUUUACUAAGAUGACAUGUGUGAUUUAUUACUUAGGUUACAUUCUUA